CCGUCUCAAGAGUCAAGAUGUUUCCCUUUACCUUGUUGUCACCAACUACUUGGACUCUGCUGGCUGUCUUCCUCACCCUGGUUUAUCUGUAUGGCAUUUGGCCGUAUAGGCAUUUCAAGAAACUUGGAAUACCCGGACCGAAGAAUUUGCCCUAUUUAGGAACGAUUUUACACUUAAAGAAGGGGUUUCUUGCUUUUGACAGUGAGUGCCAUGCCAAGUAUGGGGACGUCUGGGGGUGAGUUGUAGCUUUAGCUGUCCUCUUAUUGGGAU
Long non-coding RNA from Notothenia coriiceps (black rockcod), 270 nucleotides. RefSeq lists it as uncharacterized. NCBI's taxonomy places the organism in Eukaryota, Metazoa, Chordata, Actinopteri, Perciformes, Nototheniidae. The transcript has 3 exons. The record is from RefSeq and is a predicted model, not a curated record.